GAUGAACGCUAGCUACAGGCUUAACACAUGCAAGUUGAGGGGAAACGGCAUCGAAAGCUUGCUUUUGAUGGGCGUCGACCGGCGCACGGGUGAGUAACGCGUAUCCAACCUGCCCAUCACUUGGGAAUAACCUUGCGAAAGUAAGACUAAUGCCCAAUGACAUCCCACGAAGGCAUCCGAAUGGGAUUAAAGAUUUAUCGGUGAUGGAUGGGGAUGCGUCUGAUUAGCUUGUUGGCGGGGUGACGGCCCACCAAGGCAACGAUCAGUAGGGGUUCUGAGAGGAAGGUCCCCCACAUUGGAACUGAGACACGGUCCAAACUCCUACGGGAGGCAGCAGUGAGGAAUAUUGGUCAAUGGGCGAGAGCCUGAACCAGCCAAGUAGCGUGCAGGAUGACGGCCCUAUGGGUUGUAAACUGCUUUUAUAAGGGAAUAAAGUGGGUCACGUGUGACUUUUUGCAUGUACCUUAUGAAUAAGGACCGGCUAAUUCCGUG
Molecule: ribosomal RNA, 492 nt
Filed under: uncultured bacterium
Lineage: Bacteria
Description: partial 16S ribosomal RNA
Rfam family: Bacterial small subunit ribosomal RNA
Source: RNAcentral